UCGACUCCAUGAAGCUGGAAUCGCUAGUAAUCGUAUAUCAGCAAUGAUACGGUGAAUACGUUCCCGGACCUUGCACACACCGCCCGUCAAGCCAUGGAAGCCGGGUGUACCUAAAGUCGUAACCGUAAGGAGCCGCCUAGGGUAAAACUGGUGACUGGGGCU
This 162-nucleotide ribosomal RNA is filed under the name uncultured soil bacterium. RNAcentral's name for it is "partial 16S ribosomal RNA". It matches the Rfam family "Bacterial small subunit ribosomal RNA", at positions 1312 to 1482 of the family's 1533-position model. The record is from RNAcentral.